This 672-nucleotide ribosomal RNA is filed under the name uncultured bacterium. RNAcentral describes it as "bacterial SSU rRNA". It matches the Rfam family "Bacterial small subunit ribosomal RNA", at positions 29 to 692 of the family's 1533-position model. The record is from RNAcentral.
GCGAAGCUGGCGGCGUGCUUAACACAUGCAAGUCGAGGGCGUGGAGCAAUCCACGACCGGCGAACGGGUGCGUAACACGUGAGCGAUCUACCCUGGUGUGGGGGAUAGCCGGCCCAACGGCCGGGUAAUACCGCAUAGGUUCUUUUGGAGGCAUCUCCGGGAGAACAAAGUCUUCGGACGCACUGGGAGGGGCUCGCGGCCUAUCAGCUUGUUGGCGGGGUAACGGCCCACCAAGGCGACGACGGGUAGCUGGUCUGAGAGGAUGGCCAGCCACAUUGGGACUGAGAGACGGCCCAGACUCCUACGGGAGGCAGCAGUGGGGAAUCUUGCGCAAUGGGCGAAAGCCUGACGCAGCGACGCCGCGUGCGGGAGGACGGUCUUCGGAUCGUAAACCGCUGUUGCCCGGGACGAAUGCCUGUUUCGACAGGAUUGACGGUACCGGGUGAGGAAGCACCGGCUAACUCCGUGCCAGCAGCCGCGGUAAUACGGAGGGUGCGAGCGUUGUCCGGAAUCACUGGGCGGUAAAAGGGCGCGUANGCGGCGCCGAGCAAUUUGGGGGGUGAAAGUUCCGGGGCUCAACCCCCGGAUCCGGGCCUUUCGAUACUUUUCNCGCUUGGAAGCACAGUUAAAGGGCGGGUGGGAAUUCCNGGUUUUAGCCGGUUGGAAUGCUUU